GUUGGAAGAGAAAUAAUCAUGACACAAUAUUCCAGAUUUGUUCAGAUCUGUGCAAAGAAGGGAUCGGAGAAGAAAAAAUUCAAAAUGGGGCUGUGAAGUCAUAUGUCCACUCCUGAAACCAAAAGACUGGAGAGGGAGAAGCCGAGGUGGUAGCUGGUUAUACAAAACUAUAUCUGUUGUGUUUUUCGACAUUUUGUAGCCAGAUUUCACGAUAUUCGUUCUAGAUCUGAACUAGUUAUUUUUUAUGUUGAUUUUCGGUCAAAUCGCAAUGCCCAUGUGGUGGUCCUGACAGCAACGCAUGCAGUGACACGUGUAGUUCUGGGUGGUGGCAUCUCUGGUUGCAAACCAAUGAUUUUAUGCAUAUUCGUGUUUCCUUAUGAGUAAUUUUUUGUUUUGUUUUUGAAAGUACACAAUCUAGGAAUUUGGGAUAAUAUUCACAAAGUAUGAAAUUAAAAAGUUUGAUGGUGGAAUGAGUUUUAGUGUGUUGAAAAUUAAAAUAAAAUUAUUCUUAAUUUUAUAAGUUUUAUGGAGG
Molecule: long non-coding RNA, 532 nt
Filed under: Carica papaya (papaya)
Lineage: Eukaryota; Viridiplantae; Streptophyta; Magnoliopsida; Brassicales; Caricaceae
Description: long non-coding RNA (CPAP_LNC007800)
Source: RNAcentral